GAUGAACGCUGGCGGCGUGCCUAAUACAUGCAAGUCGAGCGAACAGACGAGGAGCUUGCUCCUCUGACGUUAGCGGCGGACGGGUGAGUAACACGUGGAUAACCUACCUAUAAGACUGGGAUAACUUCGGGAAACCGGAGCUAAUACCGGAUAAUAUAUUGAACCGCAUGGUUCAAUAGUGAAAGACGGUUUUGCUGUCACUUAUAGAUGGAUCCGCGCCGCAUUAGCUAGUUGGUAAGGUAACGGCUUACCAAGGCAACGAUGCGUAGCCGACCUGAGAGGGUGACGGGCCACACUGGAACUGAGACACGGUCCAAACUCCGACGGGAGGCAGCAGUAGGGAAUCUUCCGCAAUGGGCGAAAGCCUGACGGAGCAACGCCGCGUGAGUGAUGAAGGUCUUCGGAUCGUAAAACUCUGUUAUUAGGGAAGAACAAAUGUGUAAGUAACUAUGCACGUCUUGACGGUACCUAAUCAGAAAGCCACGGCUAACUACGUGCCAGCCGCCGCGGUAA
Molecule: ribosomal RNA, 513 nt
Filed under: uncultured bacterium
Lineage: Bacteria
Description: partial 16S ribosomal RNA
Rfam family: Bacterial small subunit ribosomal RNA
Source: RNAcentral